CGGGGCGUAGCGCAGCUGGUAGCGCGCAGCGUUCGGGACGCUGAGGUCGCUGGUUCGAGUCCAGUCGCCCCGA
RNAcentral lists this transfer RNA (73 nucleotides) under Bacteroidota bacterium. RNAcentral describes it as "Bacteroidetes bacterium (sediment metagenome) tRNA-Pro". It matches the Rfam family "tRNA". From Rfam's summary of the family: Transfer RNA (tRNA) molecules are approximately 80 nucleotides in length. Their secondary structure includes four short double-helical elements and three loops (D, anti-codon, and T loops). RNAcentral also lists the same sequence under 2 other names. The record is from RNAcentral. Lineage: Bacteria; Pseudomonadati; Bacteroidota.